RNAcentral lists this ribosomal RNA (495 nucleotides) under uncultured bacterium. RNAcentral's name for it is "bacterial SSU rRNA". It matches the Rfam family "Bacterial small subunit ribosomal RNA", at positions 28 to 480 of the family's 1533-position model. The record is from RNAcentral.
GACGAACGCUGGCGGCGUGCCUAAUACAUGCAAGUCGAACGCACUCUCGUUUAGAUUGAAGGAGCUUGCUCCUGAUUGAUAAACAUUUGAGUGAGUGGCGGACGGGUGAGUAACACGUGGGUAACCUGCCCUAAAGUGGGGGAUAACAUUUGGAAACAGAUGCUAAUACCGCAUAAAACCUAAACACCGCAUGGUGUAGGGUUGAAAGAUGGUUUCGGCUAUCACUUUAGGAUGGACCCGCGGUGCAUUAGUUAGUUGGUGAGGUAAAGGCUCACCAAGACCGUGAUGCAUAGCCGACCUGGGAGGGUAAUCGGCCACACUGGGACUGAGACACGGCCCAGACUCCUACGGGAGGCAGCAGUAGGGAAUCUUCCACAAUGGACGAAAGUCUGAUGGAGCAACGCCGCGUGAGUGAAGAAGGUUUUCGGAUCGUAAAACUCUAGUUGUUGGAGAAGAAUGUAUCUGAUAGUAACUGAUCAGGUAGUGACGGUAUCC